GCGGUAGGUGGCGUGGCGGGGGCGUGCCCGCUCCUUGCGGGAGCGGCGGUCCGGCCGCUCGCCCGGCCCUCGCCCCGCC
This 79-nucleotide transfer RNA is filed under the name Sphaerisporangium rufum. RNAcentral describes it as "tRNA-Ala". Lineage: Bacteria; Bacillati; Actinomycetota; Actinomycetes; Streptosporangiales; Streptosporangiaceae. The record is from RNAcentral.